RNAcentral lists this ribosomal RNA (1348 nucleotides) under metagenome. Its description in RNAcentral is "bacterial LSU rRNA". It matches the Rfam family "Bacterial large subunit ribosomal RNA", at positions 1564 to 2925 of the family's 2925-position model. The record is from RNAcentral.
UGAAUACGAGACGCUAAGGCGUCGAAGUAGUGUAUGUCAUACUUCCAAGAAAAGCUUGCACUGUCAUAGAUAAAAAACGCCUGUACCAUAACCGACACAGGUGGGUAGGUAGAGUAUACUAAGGGGCGCGAGAUAACUCUCUCUAAGGAACUCGGCAAAAUAACUCCGUAACUUCGGGAGAAGGAGUGCCUUAUUCGUAAGGUUGCAAUAACAAGAUCCAAGCAACUGUUUAUCAAAAACACAGGUCUCCGCUAAGUCGUAAGACGAUGUAUGGGGGCUGACGCCUGCCCAGUGCCAGAAGGUUAAAGAAGUCGGUUAGCAAUUGCGAAGCUGAUAACUGAAGCCCUGGUGAACGGCGGCCGUAACAAUAACGGUCCUAAGGUAGCGAAAUUCCUUGUCGGGUAAGUUCCGACCCGCACGAAAGGCGUAAUGAUUUGGAUACUGUCUCGGAGAGGGGCUCGGUGAAAUAGACUUGUCUGUGAAGAUGCGGACUACCUGCACCAGGACAGAAAGACCCUAUGAAGCUUUACUGUAACUUGAAAUUGAAAUUGGACUUUAUUCGCGCAGUAUAGGUGGGAGGCGUUGAUUAUAAUCUUGUGGGAUUAUUGGAGCCAUCAGUGAGAUACCACUCUUGUAAUGUUAGAUUUCUAACUUUGAAUCAUUAUCUGGUCAAAGAACAGUUUCAGGCGGGCAGUUUGACUGGGGCGGUCGCCUCCUAAACGGUAACGGAGGCGUACAAAGGUUUCCUCUGAACGGUUAGAAAUCGUAUCUAGAGUGUAAAGGCAUAAGGAAGCUUGACUGUGAGACCUACAAGUCGAGCAGGGACGAAAGUCGGUCUUAGUGAUCUGACGGUACUGAGUGGAAAGGCCGUCACUCAACGGAUAAAAGUUACUCUAGGAUAACAGGCUGAUCUCCCCCAAGAGUUCACAUCGACGGGGAGGUUUGGCACCUCGAUGUCGGCUCAUCGCAUCCUGGGGCGGUAGUACGUCCCAAGGGUUGGGCUGUUCGCCCAUGAAAGCGGUACGCGAGCUGGGUUCAGAACGUCGUGAGACAGUUCGGUCCAUAUCCGGUGUAGGCGUUAGAAUAUUGAGAGGAGCCUUCUUUAGUACGAGAGGACCGAGAAGGACAUACCUCUGGUGUACCAGUUAUCGUGCCAACGGUAAACGCUGGGUAGCUAUGUAUGGAGUGGAUAACCGCUGAAAGCAUCUAAGUGGGAAGCCCACCUCAAGAUAAGUAUUCUCAUCACGUAAGUGAGUAAGGUCACGGUAAGACUAACCGUUUGAUAGGCAUUAAGUGUAAGUACAGUAAUGUAUGUGCUGAGAUGUCCUAAUAGACCGAGGACUUGAAU